This is a non-coding RNA of Leptonychotes weddellii (Weddell seal), 171 nucleotides long. The record is from RefSeq and is a predicted model, not a curated record. NCBI's taxonomy places the organism in Eukaryota, Metazoa, Chordata, Mammalia, Carnivora, Phocidae.
GUGAGGAAUCCCAGUACUGGUAUUGUGAGAAGGUCGUGGUCAGAGAACCUGGCACUGCAACUGAGUCCGUCUUCACCUGUGAAAGAUGGCUUCCCUUUAUGUCUCAGGGCAUAAUUCAUUCAGAAAUGGAACUUUAUCUUCAAGAAAUGCAAAUAAAUCAUCAACCUAAAA